UGUCUCGGGCCUACCUGCCUUUUCGUAUAAAAAUCUCGCCUUUUACUAGAUCUUUUCGAGCGGGUGGGCACUCUAUGAGAAUUAAAACAAUUUUUUCCUGACCUACCGUAAGGUGGGUUA
Small nuclear RNA from Orchesella cincta, 120 nucleotides. It matches the Rfam family "U5 spliceosomal RNA". Rfam says of the family: U5 RNA is a component of both types of known spliceosome. The record is from Rfam. Lineage: Eukaryota; Metazoa; Arthropoda; Collembola; Entomobryomorpha; Orchesellidae.